RNAcentral lists this ribosomal RNA (21 nucleotides) under Ficus platyphylla. RNAcentral describes it as "partial 28S ribosomal RNA". Lineage: Eukaryota; Viridiplantae; Streptophyta; Magnoliopsida; Rosales; Moraceae. RNAcentral also lists the same sequence under 1 other name. The record is from RNAcentral.
CAAUGCGACCCCAGGUCAGGC